RNAcentral lists this transfer RNA (84 nucleotides) under compost metagenome. RNAcentral describes it as "tRNA-Gln". The record is from RNAcentral.
GCGGGUUUCGAGGGUGGCGACCACCUCGGCGGCGUUCUGGGCGGUGCACACGUCCUGCGGCAGGUUCAGGCCCGCGGCCCGCAC